This 527-nucleotide ribosomal RNA is filed under the name uncultured bacterium. RNAcentral describes it as "bacterial SSU rRNA". It matches the Rfam family "Bacterial small subunit ribosomal RNA", at positions 983 to 1509 of the family's 1533-position model. The record is from RNAcentral.
GACAUCCAGAGAACUUGGCAGAGAUGCCUCGGUGCCUUCGGGAACUCUGAGACAGGUGCUGCAUGGCUGUCGUCAGCUCGUGUUGUGAAAUGUUGGGUUAAGUCCCGCAACGAGCGCAACCCCCUAUCCUUUGUUGCCAGCGAUUCGGUCGGGAACUCAAAGGAGACUGCCGGUGAUAAACCGGAGGAAGGUGGGGAUGACGUCAAGUCAUCAUGGCCCUUACGAGUAGGGCUACACACGUGCUACAGUGGCGUAUACAAAGAGAAGCGACCUCGCGAGAGCAAGCGGACCUCAUAAAGUACGUCGUAGUCCGGAUUGGAGUCUGCAACUCGACUCCAUGAAGUCGGAAUCGCUAGUAAUCGUAGAUCAGAAUGCUACGGUGAAUACGUUCCCGGGCCUUGUACACACCGCCCGUCACACCAUGGGAGUGGGUUGCAAAAGAAGUAGAUAGCUUAACCUUCGGGAGGGCGUUUACCACUUUGUGAUUCAUGACUGGGGUGAAGUCGUAACAAGGUAGGCGUAGCGAG